This 66-nucleotide transfer RNA is filed under the name Pseudorhynchus acuminatus. Its description in RNAcentral is "tRNA-Leu". The record is from RNAcentral. Lineage: Eukaryota; Metazoa; Arthropoda; Insecta; Orthoptera; Tettigoniidae.
UCUAAUAUGGCAGAUAAAUGCAGUAGACUUAAGUUCUACACAUAAAGUUAUAAACUUUUAUUAGGA